This 459-nucleotide ribosomal RNA is filed under the name Pseudocercosporella oxalidis. Its description in RNAcentral is "eukaryotic LSU rRNA". The stretch from base 165 to 318 matches the Rfam family "5.8S ribosomal RNA". Lineage: Eukaryota; Fungi; Ascomycota; Dothideomycetes; Mycosphaerellales; Mycosphaerellaceae. The record is from RNAcentral.
CCUGCGGAGGGAUCAUUACUGAGUGAGGGCCUUCGGGCUCGACCUCCAACCCUUUGUGAACACAACUUGUUGCUUCGGGGGCGACCCUGCCGUUUCGACGGCGAGCGCCCCCGGAGGCCUUCAAACACUGCAUCUUUGCGUCGGAGUUUAAGUAAAUUAAACAAAACUUUCAACAACGGAUCUCUUGGUUCUGGCAUCGAUGAAGAACGCAGCGAAAUGCGAUAAGUAAUGUGAAUUGCAGAAUUCAGUGAAUCAUCGAAUCUUUGAACGCACAUUGCGCCCUUUGGUAUUCCGAAGGGCAUGCCUGUUCGAGCGUCAUUUCACCACUCAAGCCUAGCUUGGUAUUGGGCGCCGCGGUGUUCCGCGCGCCUCAAAGUCUCCGGCUGAGCUGUCCGUCUCUAAGCGUUGUGAUUUCAUUAAUCGCUUCGGAGUGCGGGCGGUCGCGGCCGUUAAAUCUUU